Caenorhabditis elegans is the source of this 173-nucleotide non-coding RNA. NCBI's taxonomy places the organism in Eukaryota, Metazoa, Nematoda, Chromadorea, Rhabditida, Rhabditidae. The record is from Ensembl.
CGGCGGCUUCUUGAUAUCUGGCGCGAAUGCGGAAAAAAGAAUAGGUGUGAGGGAUGGGCGCGUCCUCCAAAAAUCAUCUCAUCCUCAACUCAGUCAACCCUUACGUCGUUACGAUUCCUCUCGAUUCUACUUUUUUCGCCUAUUGGACAUGCGUUUUUGCAUAAAUUCAUACG